This is a non-coding RNA of Bufo gargarizans (Asiatic toad), 2027 nucleotides long. The record is from the annotation of a RefSeq genome assembly. Lineage: Eukaryota; Metazoa; Chordata; Amphibia; Anura; Bufonidae.
GAGGAGUAGAAGCAUCCACUGAUCGGGAACUGUGCACCAGACCUGGAAGUGACUAGUUCUAUCUCCUCAGACCGAACAUGAAGAGUCUCCUGUUCUCACUCUGUGUUAUAUUAACUCUACAAUGUGUCACAUCACAAAUCUCUAUGGUGGAGUCAGGUCCUGGUAUUGUGAAGCCUUCAGAGACUCUGGACAUGACCUGUAAAGUGACCGGGGCCUCCCUCACUGACAGCACUAACAUGCAUUGUGUAGAGUGGGUCCGACAACCUCAAGGGAAAGGACUGGACUGGUUGGGGAGAAUAUGUUAUGAGAAUAGCAAAAAUUAUGCCCAGUCUCUUCAGGGACGUCUAACUCUAACAAGAGACACAAAUAAAGGAGAAGUUUAUCUUAAACUCACUGGAGUGAAACCUGAAGAAUCUGGGAAAUAUUAUUGUGCUAGAGAGACGGUCUACUUCGAUAUAUGGGGUCUCGGCACCAUGGUCACCAUAACCUCAGCUACACAGCAGGCACCAUCUCUUUUUCCACUCAUUUCUUGCGGCACAUCUCAGGAUUCCACCUUCACCGUUGGUUGCUUGGCCAAAGAUUUCCUUCCAGAAACGAUUGACUUCACCUGGAACGAUAAGUCCAAUAACAGCUUUACCAAUGGCCUGUUGACAUACAAACCAGUCCUGCGAUCCAGUGGUAACUAUAUGGCCAGCUCACAAAUAAAAGUGACAGCUGACAGCUGGAACCGUCGCGAUGAAUAUUACUGCAUGGCAAAACAUUCACAAAACACCAAGGUCGUGAAACUUGUGAAAGAAGGUAAUAUUAAUGACGGACCAGGUCCAAUUUCAAAUCCAGUAGUGACCAUGAAUGCUCCUGUAAAAGAGGACCUUAAUGCGAAUGGCAAAGGUACAAUCGUGUGUGUCAUGGACGACUUUUUUCCCAAGGAAAUCCAAGUGAAAUGGUUCAAAAACCACGAGGAAACAACCCUCAACACCAUGACAGGCAACCUCUUUCAAAAGAGCAAUGGAAAUUUUACGCUAAGCUCCUAUAUCACAGUAUCUAAGAAGGAAUGGGAUGAAGACACCAUAUUCUCUUGUAAUGUAGUACAUUCUGGCAUUUCUGAAACUAGGAAUAUGAGCAAAUCCCAAACCUGUGAAGCACCACCUGUGCCCGGAGCUAUCCAAGUUGCUGUUGAGCCUCCAUCUUUUGAGACCAUAUUCUAUAAUAAAAAGGCACCACUCACCUGUAUAAUCUCCAAUAUGCAGAAUACAGAUGGAUUAGACGUCUCCUGGUAUGAACUGAGGUCUGAAGUCAAGCUUGAGACUGUACUUGAUAACCCUGUCUUCCAAGGUAGUUCAUAUUCUAUCAAGGCCAUAGCAUCAGUGUGUGCUGAUGACUGGUAUAGUAAGAAAUUUGAAUGCAGAGUGAAACAUCCAGACCUUACAUCCCCAAAGAAUGUAAUCCUGGCGAAAGAUACAAGCCAGACACCUCAGAAACCUACAGUUUAUCUUUACGGACCGCACCAAGAUGAACUAAAUAAUAAAGAAUCUCUCACACUGACAUGUGUUGGAAGGUCUUUCAAUCCACCAGACUCAUUUAUCAAGUGGUCAAAGAAUGAUCAGGUUAUAGAAAGAUAUGUUGUGACCACUAAACCUAUGGAAGAGCCUUAUUCUUCUGUCAAUAAAUCCUACUUCCAAUAUAGCACAUUAACUCUACCAAGCAUAGAGGACUGGAACAAUGGAGACACUUUUACCUGUACGUUUGGUCAUGAAGCAUUACCACUUCAGGCCACCCAGAGAAGCGUUGACAAAACUACUGGUAAACCAACUUCCGUGAAUGUGUCCCUCGUUAUGUCUGAUUCCUGUUAACAGUCCUUACAGAAAGACCUGCUAUCUCUUCCUCUUGUGAUUCCCUAUGUCAUGUGUGGAAUGAGAAGGAGGAAGAAGUGUUAUCUUGGUGUCUGUUAGUCUUUUUUUUGUACAUUAACUUCAUUGAACUUUGUCUGCAUAUUGAAAAGUAGAAAUAAAAAAAAUCUAUAAAAUGUU